This 244-nucleotide non-coding RNA is filed under the name Terrisporobacter sp. RNAcentral's name for it is "T-box sequence". It matches the Rfam family "T-box leader". From Rfam's summary of the family: Uncharged tRNA acts as the effector for transcription antitermination of genes in the T-box leader family. T-boxes are found upstream of many aminoacyl-tRNA synthetase genes and some amino acid biosynthetic genes usually in Gram-positive bacteria. Lineage: Bacteria; Bacillati; Bacillota; Clostridia; Peptostreptococcales; Peptostreptococcaceae. The record is from RNAcentral.
UUAAAUCCUUUGAUAAGGGAUAGUAAUCAAAUUUAGGUUCAAGAUAGAGAGUUGAGGAUGGUGGAAUCUCGACAAGAAGAAAUUUGAUGAAUGGGCCUUUGAGGAGUAAAUCGAAAUCUUUGGAAAGUAGACUUUACCGUGUUUUGCACGUUAUAGCAAAUGAGGUAUGAUAGUACCAAUAUUAAGAGGUGUAUUUAUGAUACACAAAUUAGGUGGCAACGCGGAGUAUAGCUUCGUCCUAUUU